AGAGUUUUGAUUCGCUCUUUGUUGUUAAUGAUACUUACACUAUUGCAAACUUCCAAGUUCAGCUGAAUGAUCUGCUGUUCAAACCUUCUGCUCACAAGUACCUCCUUAAAUUUACUGGUGGGACCAAAGUUGGGGAUAGAAACGUGCAUCAGAUUCAGGAAAAGGCUUGCAGACUCACUCCUUUUCUUGAUAUUUUAACUGGGAAAUGGAAUAAAGAUCAACUUUUAGAUGUUAUCGGAGUGGUUGAUGAAAUUGGGUACACACAGGCCCAGGUUGGAAGUAAAAAGCAACAGGUCAACUUUGUCAUUCGCGACUUGAGCAACAACACUAUAACGGUUACGUUAUGGGAGGCGUACGCGGCGCAGUUUAUCAACUACGUUGAACAGCAGGUCGAUACUGCCAUUCCGGUUGUGAUUCUGAUUCAAUAUGCAAAAGUCAAAGAAGCUUUUGGCAAAUAUCCACUAUCUGUUACCAACACUUACAAUGUCACCAAAGUGGCUAUUAAUGAAGACAUGGAGACAAUCAAAC
Molecule: long non-coding RNA, 528 nt
Organism: Vicia villosa (hairy vetch)
Lineage: Eukaryota; Viridiplantae; Streptophyta; Magnoliopsida; Fabales; Fabaceae
Exons: 4
Source: RefSeq, a predicted model, not a curated record